This 1284-nucleotide ribosomal RNA is filed under the name uncultured bacterium. Its description in RNAcentral is "partial 16S ribosomal RNA". It matches the Rfam family "Bacterial small subunit ribosomal RNA", at positions 24 to 1294 of the family's 1533-position model. The record is from RNAcentral.
UCAGGAUGAACGCUGGCGGUGCGCCUAAUGCAUGCAAGUCGAGCGACGCACUCUGGAGGGGUAACCCACCGGAAUGACGGAGCGGCGAACGGGUGAGUAACACGUGAGCAACCUGCCCCACAGACCGGGACAGCCCAGGGAAACCUGGAUUAAUACCGGAUAUCCUCCUAGGACCGCAUGGUCCAUUGAGGAAAUGCCAUUGUGCUGUGGGAUGGGCUCGCGAUUUAUCAGCUAGUUGGUGGGGUAACGGCCCACCAAGGCAUCGACGAAUAGCUGGUCUGAGAGGACGAUCAGCCACACUGGAACUGAGACACGGUCCAGACUCCUACGGGAGGCAGCAGCAGGGAAUCUUGCGCAAUGGGCGAAAGCCUGACCGAGCGAUGCCGCGUGAGUGAAGAAGGCCCUAUGGGUUGUAAAGCUCUGUCAGAUUGGGAAGAAAAUCCUACGGUUAAUACCCGUGGGACUUGACGGUACCAUCAGAGGAAGCACCGGCUAACUCCGUGCCAGCAGCCGCGGUAAUACGGAGGGUGCAAGCGUUGUUCGGAUUCACUGGGUAUAAAGGGUGCGCAGGCGGCCUGGUAAGUCAGGGGUGAAAUAUGACGGCUCAACCGUCAAACGGCCCCUGAAACUGUCAGGCUUGAGUCCGGGAGAGGAAGGUGGAAUUCCAGGUGUAGCGGUGAAAUGCGUAAAUAUCUGGACGAACACCCGUGGCGAAGGCGGCCUUCUGGCCCGGAACUGACGCUCAGGCACGAAAGCUAGGGGAGCGAACGGGAUUAGAUACCCCGGUAGUCCUAGCCGUAAACGAUGGGUACUAGGUGUUGGAGGAUUCUACCCCUUCAGUGCCGCAGCUAACGCAUUAAGUACCCCACCUGGGGAGUACCAUCGCAAGGUUGAAACUCAAAGGAAUUGACGGGGGCCCGCACAAGCGGUGGAGCAUGUGGUUUAAUUCGAUGCAACGCGAAGAACCUUACCUGGGCUUGACAUGCAGGGGACAGAUGUAGAAAUACAUCCUUCUUCCGACUCCUGUACAGGUGCUGCAUGGCUGUCGUCUGCUCGUGUCGUGAAAUGUUAGGUUAAGUCCUGCAACGAGCGCAACCCUUGUCUUUAGUUGCCAUCAGGUUAUGCUGGGGACUCUAAAGAGACUGCCGGGACAAACCGGAGGAGGGUGGGGACGACGUCAAGUCAUCAUGGCCCUUACGCCCAGGGCUACACACGUGCUACAAUGGUCGGUACAAAGGGCUGCAAUGCUGCGAAGUGGACCAAUCCCAAAAGCCGCCUCAGUUC